GAUGAACGCUGGCGGCGUGCCUAAUACAUGCAAGUCGAGCGGACGGACGAUAAGCUUGCUUCUCUGAUGUUAGCGGCGGACGGGUGUGUAACACGUGGAUAAUCUACCUAUAAUACUGGGAUAACUUCGGGAAACCGGAGCUAAUACCGGAUAAUAUUUUGAACCGCAUUGUUCAAAAGUAAAAGACGGUCUUGCUGUCACGUAUAGAUGGAUCCGCGCUGCAUUAGCUAGUUGGUGAGGUAACGGCUUACCAAGGCAACGAGGCAUAGCCGAACUGAGGGGGUGAUCGGCCACACUGGAACCGAGACACGGUCCAGACUCCUACGGGAGGCAGCAGUAGGGAAUCUUCCGCAAUAGGCGAAAGCCUGACGGAGCAACGCCGCGUGAGAGAUGAAGGUCUUCGGAUCGUAAAACUCUGUUAUUAGGGAAGAACAGAUAUGUAAGUAACUGAGCACAUCUUGACGGUACCUAAUCAGAAAGCCACGGCUAACUACGUG
Molecule: ribosomal RNA, 497 nt
Filed under: uncultured bacterium
Lineage: Bacteria
Description: partial 16S ribosomal RNA
Rfam family: Bacterial small subunit ribosomal RNA
Source: RNAcentral